This is a long non-coding RNA of Budorcas taxicolor (takin), 293 nucleotides long. RefSeq lists it as uncharacterized. The transcript has 3 exons. NCBI's taxonomy places the organism in Eukaryota, Metazoa, Chordata, Mammalia, Artiodactyla, Bovidae. The record is from RefSeq and is a predicted model, not a curated record.
CUCUGCACUGGCGGCGAGAGCGGAGUUGUGGUUUCGGCUUCGUGCGGUUUGUUGGGGCUGCGCCCGGCGUGUGAGGAGCCGUGGACUCCAGCUCUGUGGAAAAAACGAAGCAAGUCUGGGAGAGUGGUCAUCGGACGAAUGAGGGAUGAAACCAUGUCAUUUCUCAAUCUUGGGAACUGCCUGAGGUUAUUUGACUUCUUAUGCUCCUUCUAGAACCUCAAAGCUGAAGAAAAAACAGGCCUGAAGAGAAGCAAGUUGCCCGAGAUCACCCAGGUAGUAACUGACAGCUGUGA